This 458-nucleotide ribosomal RNA is filed under the name uncultured bacterium. RNAcentral describes it as "partial 16S ribosomal RNA". It matches the Rfam family "Bacterial small subunit ribosomal RNA", at positions 338 to 795 of the family's 1533-position model. The record is from RNAcentral.
CCUACGGGGGGCUGCAGUGAGGAAUAUUGGUCAAUGGGCGAGAGCCUGAACCAGCCAAGUCGCGUGAGGGAGUACUGCCCUAUGGGUUGUAAACCUCCUUUGUCGGGGAGCAAAAGCCGGACGUGUCCGGCUGUGAGAGUACCCGAAGAAAAAGCAUCGGCUAACUCCGUGCCAGCAGCCGCGGUAAUACGGAGGAUGCGAGCGUUAGCCGGAUUUAUUGGGUUUAAAGGGUGCGCAGGCGGAUUUUUAAGUCAGCGGUAAAAUCGUGGGGCUCAACCCCAUCCAGCCGUUGAAACUGGGGAUCUAGAGUGUGCGAGAGGUAUGCGGAAUGCGUGGUGUAGCGGUGAAAUGCAUAGAUAUCACGCAGAACCCCGAUUGCGAAGGCAGCAUACCGGUGCACAACUGACGCUCAGGCACGAAAGCGUGGGUAUCGAACAGGAUUAGAUACCCCAGUAGUC